CUGCUUCUUGUUCUGCAAAACUGCACAAAAAAUAUUAAAUGUCAACGAAUCCUACAGUUUAAUGCAUUUCUUUAAUUUCAAAAGAUAAAACAACUGAUCAGUUAAACAGCAUAGACACAUUUGUAGGAACACCCCUGCUUACAACACUUUGUCUUUGGAGGACAUGAUAAAUCAUCGUUACAAUAUCUCUGGUAAUGUCCAUAACAGUUGGAAUUAGGACCUGGAUCAACUGGACAAUGGGGAACUGAAAAAGAAA
RNAcentral lists this long non-coding RNA (256 nucleotides) under Mytilus galloprovincialis (Mediterranean mussel). Lineage: Eukaryota; Metazoa; Mollusca; Bivalvia; Mytilida; Mytilidae. The record is from RNAcentral.